CAAACAGGAUUAGAUACCCUGGUAGUCCAUGCCGUAAACGAUGUCUACUAGCCGUUGGGGCCUUUGAGGCUUUAGUGGCGCAGCUAACGCGAUAAGUAGACCGCCUGGGGAGUACGGUCGCAAGACUAAAACUCAAAUGAAUUGACGGGGGCCCGCACAAGCGGUGGAGCAUGUGGUUUAAUUCGAUGCAACGCGAAGAACCUUACCUGGCCUUGACAUACUAGAAACUUUCCAGAGAUGGAUUGGUGCCUUCGGGAAUCUAGAUACAGGUGCUGCAUGGCUGUCGUCAGCUCGUGUCGUGAGAUGUUGGGUUAAGUCCCGCAACGAGCGCAACCCUUUUCCUUACUUGCC
Molecule: ribosomal RNA, 351 nt
Filed under: uncultured bacterium
Lineage: Bacteria
Description: bacterial SSU rRNA
Rfam family: Bacterial small subunit ribosomal RNA
Source: RNAcentral